UACAAAUUCACUUGUUAACAUUUGGCGCCAUCUGUGGGAAUCACAGCAAAUAUCCAUGUCGUUCUCAGCACUCUCUUAUAGGUUUCAUCAUCUCUGCCAAGAACACAAAAAAACAACCCUGGUCUUGCGCCGUCCCUGAGCCCAUUAUCUCUUGGCUCUCCGAUCAAAACACAAUUUCCAAUCUUGACACUCUCGGUUCAGACCAAAAUAAGGGGCACAAACCUACUGUUUCUCUGAUUGGCUCAUCUCUCAUGGAGAAUACAAAGGGUGCUUAUGAAAAAUCACCUUCAUCUUAUCCCACAUAUGUCCCAUGGAGCAACAAAGAAGAAACUAAGCUUUCUUUUCGAUAGUCGCAACUCCAACAACAAACAACCAAAAGAAUGCGAGAGGAAUCAAAUACCAGAAAUUGAUCAAGGCACCCAUGUACCUUCUUCCUCAAAGAAACAAUGGAGAAGCAAUCGUCCACCCUCACCGUCAAUGACCGCCGUCUCCCUGGCAAAGCGGAAAACAAAAGACUUUCCUCAACCACAUGUUUGCUCAAGGCACACGUGCCCUCUUCUCUCUCAAAGAGACCAAGAGUCUCACCCCUCGUUGAAAAAUUUCUCUCUCAGCUCACACAGAUAGCAGCAACCAAAAGGAGAAGAGGAGAAGCAUAUCGGUUCGGCUCAACCGACCAC
RNAcentral lists this long non-coding RNA (677 nucleotides) under Prunus dulcis (almond). RNAcentral's name for it is "sRNA ncRNA". The record is from RNAcentral. Lineage: Eukaryota; Viridiplantae; Streptophyta; Magnoliopsida; Rosales; Rosaceae.